This 1461-nucleotide long non-coding RNA is filed under the name Capra hircus (goat). RNAcentral's name for it is "lncRNA (ENSCHIG00010017654.1)". Lineage: Eukaryota; Metazoa; Chordata; Mammalia; Artiodactyla; Bovidae. The record is from RNAcentral.
AAAAAGUCAGAGCCCUGGUUGAUGGAGCUGCAGAUCCAGCCGUGGAGGGGGAGGGGAGGGAAAUGCAGGACUGGCUGCAGGUCAGGCGCUGGGUGGGUGCUAGGAGGAGGGACCAAGCAAGUCUUUCUUUAAUGCCCACUGUGUGCUGGGCCUGGUUUAUCCGGGAGCACGCGGGGUCUGUAUGGGAAAAUUCUCCCCCUCUCCGCACCUUCUGUGCAUAUGGACCCUGGUCCGAGUUCACCUCUCAGAACAGCUCUCUGCUCCGUCCUCACCCANNCCUGCCUCCACUGUCCCCAUGUUCAUCUCUUCUCCCUUAAACGACCUUUUUACAAAGAGGAAGCUGACCUUCCUUCCAGCCCAGCACCCCCUGGCUUACCGCUGCUUUCCGAAAAACAUGCAAAGCUCCAGCCUGGACCACUAGGAGGUCUGGCGGUGCCCUGGCUCCAGCUGCAUCCCACGCCUUGCUCCUCCCACUUCAUGGGAGGCUGUGCUGGGAGUGGCAUCCCUGAGGAGGAAGGUCAAGGUCAGAGCAGGCGCCCCCCACCCCUAAUCCCCAGACAGGGAAGGCCCAGGUGGCAGUUUUUUUCUGCCUUUCACCUGUAAGCCCAGUCCAAUCAAGUGCCCAAACACACAUUUUUUCAGGGUUGAAAAAGUACAUACAAACGAGGACUCAUGGGAGGCUGGACACACAGAGGCUCUGCUAAAGCCACUGAAGGAGGGAGAGUUUGGCAAACUGGAGAUCCUGCUUCAGUUCCAGCAAUCUCGGAUGGUGGAGACAUGUAAUAAAGGUCAGGCAGAGUGAGAAAUAUUCUUACUGGAGAGUCAGCCUAGGUUUGCUGAACACUUAUUAUGUGCCGGUGCAGUGCUGGGUGACAGAAACAUAAGCAAUCUGGGGCAAAGCCAAGACUGAGAGGCCAUUUGAAGGCAGUCAGGUCCUAGAUAUGAUGAAUUAUCAUCCUCCGGGCCUGUCUGAGGACUGCUCAAAUCCAUCGCCUUCCAAAAAACUGAGGCACAGAGACAAUUAAAUGUCGAUUUUCAAAAAAAUAAUCAAAAAUGAUCAAGUCUGUGCCUGCUUCUGCACCACAGGAAUGCUGUGUCUGCUAAGUCGCUUCAGUUGUGUCCGACUCUGUGCGACCCCAUAGACGCCNNNNNNNNNNNNNNNNNNNNNNNNNNNNNNNNNNNNNNNNNNNNNNNNNNNNNNGUAGGUUGCCAUUUCCUUCUCCAAUGCAUGAAAGUGAAAACUGAAAGUGACGUCGCUCAGUCAUGUCCGACUCUCCACGACCCCAUGGACUGCAGCUCACCAGGCUCCUCCACCCAUGGGGUUUUCCAGGCAAGAGUACAGGAGGGGGUCGCCAAAUCAGCUAUAACCCAAUAAAAAAUCGAAAGUUUAAAGUUUGAAAUAAGUAAAUAAAUAUAACUUGCAUGCAUGCAUGCUAAGUCGCUUCAGUCAUGUCCGACUCU